UAGGGAAUCUUCCGCAAUGGGCGAAAGCCUGACGGAGCAACGCCGCGUGAGUGAUGAAGGUCUUCGGAUCGUAAAACUCUGUUAUUAGGGAAGAACAAAUGUGUAAGUAACUAUGCACGUCUUGACGGUACCUAAUCAGAAAGCCACGGCUAACUACGUGCCAGCAGCCGCGGUAAUACGUAGGUGGCAAGCGUUAUCCGGAAUUAUUGGGCGUAAAGCGCGCGUAGGCGGUUUUUUAAGUCUGAUGUGAAAGCCCACGGCUCAACCGUGGAGGGUCAUUGGAGACUGGAAAACUUGAGUGCAGAAGAGGAAAGUGGAAUUCCAUGUGUAGCGGUGAAAUGCGCAGAGAUAUGGAGGAACACCAGUGGCGAAGGCGACUUUCUGGUCUGUAACUGACACUGAUGUGCGAAAGCGUGGGAAUCAAACAGG
This 429-nucleotide ribosomal RNA is filed under the name Bacteroidota bacterium. Its description in RNAcentral is "Bacteroidetes bacterium partial 16S ribosomal RNA". It matches the Rfam family "Bacterial small subunit ribosomal RNA", at positions 355 to 776 of the family's 1533-position model. Lineage: Bacteria; Pseudomonadati; Bacteroidota. The record is from RNAcentral.